UUCAACGUCCUUGGGGGACUAAUAAAGGACGAAAUCGUUUCUAAAAACUAAUUUUACUGCUCUCAAUAUAUUUGUGUGUGACUACCUUAACAUGCGGUGGUAAAGAGAAAGAGAACAGGCAUGCUAAUGUAAUAUGAUACGGAGGAUAUAUAGAUGAUUAUACUAUUUACAAACAUCAUCCCGGAGCACCCCUGUGAUUCCGGUAUGAUACGUACUGAACUACGUUUCCAACAACCAUAUACAAAUCAAGUAUAUAACAUCCCCGCCCCGAAAGAAAAAGAAAUUCAAAAAUUUCGUGAUGGUUGUUGGUAAACGUAGGUCAGAGAAUAUAAAACUAAAAUAAGACAACAAACAUUAUAGUCGACCAUAAUCAAAAUGAUAAUUAAAAAAAAUAUAUAUAAUUAUACAUGUAUAUGCAAGUUUCUCACUAAACUUCAACAUGUUCAAGCUAUCAAAUCUCUGACGCCGACUACCACACAAAUCUCUUACAAUGUAAUAUUUUCUCAUCACAGUUCUGGUCUUGCGCAUGAAACAUUCAAAUGAAUCAUAAUUUCAGUUAUGCAAUUGAGGAAUCAUAGUCUAUUUGAUAAGUCUAGCAGAGACCUGAAACUCUUAAUAUUUCAGAUAAUACAUUCAUAAAUAAUAUCAACUUUUACACACAGAUUUGGUUAACACUGGCACUCUCACUUACAAAAACAUACGAAAAUAUUAUAGGAAAAAUAAACAGGUUUUAUAUCUAGAACAUGCCAAUCAACCUCAUUUGACACAAAGUCUAUUCAUGAAACGACCAAUAACAACUAGUAAUAAUAAUACAGUGAUAAGAGAAAGGUGGCAGUCACACACAGUACAUUCAAAAAUCAUAAAUCUCAAUACAAAUUAACAAUCAAAUCAAAUAAAGUCUCAAUUAUGUCUACUGUUAUCAACGAUAACUGGUCCCUGGUACUGGACGAAUAUAAUAGCGAUGCAAUCAUCACUGAUUAACACAACAUCUGGAUUCAGCACGUUUGGCGAUGCAAUCAUCACCGAUUAUAAC
This 1033-nucleotide long non-coding RNA is filed under the name Mytilus galloprovincialis (Mediterranean mussel). The record is from RNAcentral. Lineage: Eukaryota; Metazoa; Mollusca; Bivalvia; Mytilida; Mytilidae.